CCUACGGGAGACAGCAGUGGGGAAUAUUGGGCAAUGGGCGCAAGCCUGACCCAGCAACGCCGCGUGAAGGAAGAAGGCUUUCGGGUUGUAAACUUCUUUUCUCAGGGACGAAGCAAGUGACGGUACCUGAGGAAUAAGCCACGGCUAACUACGUGCCAGCAGCCGCGGUCAUACGUAGGUGGCAAGCGUUAUCCGGAUUUACUGGGUGUAAAGGGCGUGUAGGCGGGACUGCAAGUCAGAUGUGAAAACCACGGGCUCAACCUGUGGCCUGCAUUUGAAACUGUAGUUCUUGAGUACUGGAGAGGCAGACGGAAUGCCUAGUGUAGCGGUGAAAUGCGUAGAUAUUAGGAGGAACACCAGUGGCGAAGGCGGUCUGCUGGACAGCAACUGACGCUGAGGCGCGAAAGCGUGGGGAGCAAACAGGAUUAGAUACCCGAGUAGUC
This 443-nucleotide ribosomal RNA is filed under the name uncultured bacterium. RNAcentral's name for it is "partial 16S ribosomal RNA". It matches the Rfam family "Bacterial small subunit ribosomal RNA", at positions 338 to 795 of the family's 1533-position model. The record is from RNAcentral.